This 253-nucleotide ribosomal RNA is filed under the name uncultured bacterium. Its description in RNAcentral is "partial 16S ribosomal RNA". It matches the Rfam family "Bacterial small subunit ribosomal RNA", at positions 524 to 776 of the family's 1533-position model. The record is from RNAcentral.
UACGUAGGGUGCGAGCGUUGUCCGGAAUUAUUGGGCGUAAAGAGCUCGUAGGCGGCUUGUCGCGUCGGAUGUGAAAGCCCGGGGCUUAACUCCGGGUCUGCAUUCGAUACGGGCAGGCUAGAGUUCGGUAGGGGAGAUCGGAAUUCCUGGUGUAGCGGUGAAAUGCGCAGAUAUCAGGAGGAACACCGGUGGCGAAGGCGGGUCUCUGGGCAAUAACUGACGCUGAGGAGCGAAAGCGUGGGGAGCGAACAGG